UACGGGGGGGGCAAGCGUUGUUCGGAAUUACUGGGCGUAAAGGGCUCGUAGGCGGCCAACUAAGUCAGACGUGAAAUCCCUCGGCUUAACCGGGGAACUGCAUCUGAUACUGGAUGGCUUUAGUUCGGGAGAGGGAUGCGGAAUUCCAGGUGUAGCGGUGAAAUGCGUAGAUAUCUGGAGGAACACCGGUGGCGAAGGCGGCAUCCUGGACCGACACUGACGCUGAGGAGCGAAAGCCAGGGGAGCAAACGGG
This 253-nucleotide ribosomal RNA is filed under the name uncultured bacterium. RNAcentral's name for it is "partial 16S ribosomal RNA". It matches the Rfam family "Bacterial small subunit ribosomal RNA", at positions 524 to 776 of the family's 1533-position model. The record is from RNAcentral.